UGCUUCCCCUGUCUCUGAUUCGCAGGCGGCCGUGUCAUCAACACCAACUGCUCCGCGGUGCGCACCCGUCAGGCCCUCUGCUGCAAGAUGUCCGUGGAGUAUGACAAGUUCAUUGAGUCUGGGCGCAAGUACGCGGCGCUGACCCGACCCGCAGAGAGCCCAGAGCCAAGCUGGGUGGGGGCCUCCUGUCCAGCCAUGCCAGGCCCUCGUGCCCAGGACUCCCCUCGCCCACAGGUGGUUUUGCCACGUGGAUGAUGACAAUUAUGUGAACGCCAGGAGCCUCCUGCACCUGCUCUCCAGCUUCUCACCCAGCCAGGACGUCUACCUGGGGCGGCCCAGCCUGGACCACCCCAUCGAGGCCACCGAGAGGGUCCAGGGUGGCAGAACUGUGAGUGUCGGAGCAGACGCCGUCGGAGCAGACGCCUUCCUUGACACCAGCCCGGGAGGCGCAGCAGAGGGCGUGGAAAGCUGGCUUGAGAAGGGCAUAGGGUUGGGGGCCCAAGCUGAUCCACCCAGGUGGUUUGCAUGUGGUGGUUCAGGAGCAGGCCAGGAGGCCCUCACCGUACUGGGCAGAGAGGGGGUGUCUGGGCCAGGUGGGGAGGGUCUGGAGGCCAUGGGUCAAUGGCCUGCAGAGGCUCCCGGCUUUUUUUGCUUCAAGAAGCUUCUGUUACCUGGGUGGGAUCUCCUAAGGGGCAGCUUAAGAAAGAUGCCUGGGGAGUCCCAUGAAGAGUCAGGGGUGAGAAGCCCUGUCCCGGGCAGCUCUGACCAGCACCCCAUCCUCAGGUGACCACGGUCAAGUUCUGGUUUGCUACUGGUGGGGCCGGGUUCUGCCUCAGCAGAGGCCUUGCCCUCAAGAUGAGCCCAUGGGCCAGGUGAGUGGGGGUCCGGCUGCCCGGGCUGGGAGGCGGAGGCUGAGACCUGAAAGGUGCUGACCGGCCUCCCCCCAGCCUGGGCAGCUUCAUGAGCACAGCUGAGCAGGUGCGGCUGCCGGAUGACUGCACAGUGGGCUACAUCGUGGAGGGGCUCCUGGGCGCCCGCCUGCUGCACAGCACCCUCUUCCACUCUCACCUGGAGAACCUGCAGAGGCUGCCGCCCGACACCCUGCUCCAGCAGGUACAGGCGCCACUCUGGGUGCCUCUGCCACCUGGGCUUUGCCCCGCCCUGACUCCCCCAGGGGCCCCACUGCCCCGGCCCGAUGCCUGGCUGAGCAGGCAGGUGGGAUUUGCAUGUGGCUGGGGGCAGACCCUGGACAGGCCCCUUGGCCUAUUGGACACAGGGUCUUCAGGUACAGAUGGGGUAUGGUGUCUGGGGCAGAGGAACGAGGGGAGAAGCACAGUUCUCGGGCCAGGGAGGCCCCGUGCCAGCUGGGCAGUGGGUGUGGUGUGUAUGGUGACGGUGAGUCGGAACAGGUCCCAUCACGUGGAGCAGGGAGGGAAUGAGGGUCAGCUUUGCUCUGGAGGUUUCAGAUCCCUACCUUCUGUCCCCCAGGCUCUGCCUGAGGUGUCCCCCUACUCAGCUCAUGCCAUGUUUCAAUGCUGUUUCCAAGCCUGGCCUCCCCCAGGGCCUGGGGAGAAGGGGGUGGGCAAGGGGGCUCUAGCAGGGCUCCUGGCCAGGGGGAGGCGUGGCCCGAGACCAGACCAGGCCACACACUCUGCCCACACCGUUCCCUCCCAGGUUACCUUGAGCUAUGGGGGUCCUGAGAACCCACAUAACGUGGUGAACGUGGCUGGAGGCUUCAGCCUGCAUCAGGACCCCACACGGUGAGUGGGUAGUGGCAUGGGCAGGCCCUCGGCCCCGCAGGGGCUCUGGCAUCAGCACGCCCACCCACAGCCCUGGCCCCCACUUCUCCCUCUACCCACGGCCCUGACCCCCACUGCUCCCGCCGCCCACGGCCCUGACCCCCGCUUCUCCCACCGCCCACGGCCCUGACCCCCACUGCUCCCACCACCCACGGCCCUGACCCCUACUUCUUCCUUCGCCAGGUUUAAGUCUAUCCACUGCCUUCUCUACCCAGACACGGACUGGUGUCCCAGGCAGAAACAGGGUGCCCCAACGUCUCGGUGACACCAACCACCCCUGACCCAGGGCUGCCUGGCUCUGUCCCAGGUGCGGGGAACCAGAGCCCCCUGUGGGUUCAGUGGGCUCCCUCAGGUGCCACGGCCACACCAGUGAGAUGCAGGCACCUGGCAGACCCUCUGGCUAGCCUGCAGCCCCCCUCUCCCAGCCCCUGGUGGGCUGCGGUGAUGGGUGUUUUGGGAGAACGAAGACAGCCAGGCUGAUGGCCAGGGCCAUGGUGCCCCUCCCCCCGACCCAGCCGCAAGGUUGAUCCCACGGGAACAGGCUUCCACCCCAGCACUUGAGCACCUGGGAGGGAGCUGCCUUCCGGGCUCCAUUACCUGUUGCUGAAGGCGGGUGCUAGGCUGGCUAGGUGCCAAGGAGCAGGCUCCAGGCCAAGGUCCUGGCCCAGCCAUGGCCAUUGCAAGGGCUCAGCCUGGCAGGCUUUGUGGGGGACGCCGCCCUCUCUGCCGCAGGCUGGGUGCACGGCCGGGCACCACAGUGGGACUCAAGCCCGGGAAGGUCAUGCUCUCGGCCAGAGCUUUGCUCCCAGUCCAGGCGCCUCAUUCGGAGGCCUCUUGACUGGGACCACAGAGAUGUUUUCUCCACUCUGACUUGUGGCUCAGGACUACUUUCUGGGUCGUGCUCCUGCCCCACUGUGCCUGGCCCCAUAAACAACAGGAGCCUGUUGUUCCGCUGACCUGCCCAUCCCAGCAGACCCACCUCCCCGCCUGGUGCCUUCCACGGAGGGAAAUGGGACAGGGGCCGUCAUCUCCCCUCUGCCUCCUGCUUUGCUGUUGCCGAGCACGAGUAAAGCCUCUGUUCUUACUUCA
This 2888-nucleotide small RNA is filed under the name Pan troglodytes (chimpanzee). RNAcentral's name for it is "retained intron". Lineage: Eukaryota; Metazoa; Chordata; Mammalia; Primates; Hominidae. The record is from RNAcentral.